UACCCAUGGUGUGGGCACUGGUUAGUGUAGCUCUCAUAUACUUCACCAAAACUCUCAUUGCUAUGUUGAGUGAAGCUGAAGAUUUGGUUUCUUAGCUU
Molecule: small nucleolar RNA, 98 nt
Filed under: Eutrema salsugineum
Lineage: Eukaryota; Viridiplantae; Streptophyta; Magnoliopsida; Brassicales; Brassicaceae
Description: Plant small nucleolar RNA R71
Rfam family: Plant small nucleolar RNA R71
About the family: R71 is a member of the C/D box family of snoRNAs containing the C (UGAUGA) and D (CUGA) box motifs. Multiple nearly identical copies of this snoRNA have been identified in Arabidopsis, and it is thought to function as a 2'-O-ribose methylation guide for 18S ribosomal RNA.
Source: Rfam by way of RNAcentral